AAUAGAUACCCAGGUAGUCCACGCCGUAAACGAUGUCGACUUGGAGGUUGUGCCCUUGAGGCGUGGCUUCCGGAGCUAACGCGUUAAGUCGACCGCCUGGGGAGUACGGCCGCAAGGUUAAAACUCAAAUGAAUUGACGGGGGCCCGCACAAGCGGUGGAGCAUGUGGUUUAAUUCGAUGCAACGCGAAGAACCUUACCUACUCUUGACAUCCAGAGAACUUGGCAGAGAUGCUUUGGUGCCUUCGGGAACUCUGAGACAGGUGCUGCAUGGCUGUCGUCAGCUCGUGUUGUGAAAUGUUGGGUUAAGUCCCGCAACGAGCGCAACCCUUAUCCUUUGUUGCCAGCGGUUAGGCCGGGAACUCAAAGGAGACUGCCAGUGAUAAACUGGAGGAAGGUGGGGAUGACGUCAAGUCAUCAUGGCCCUUACGAGUAGGGCUACACACGUGCUACAAUGGCGCAUACAAAGAGAAGCGACCUCGCGAGAGCAAGCGGACCUCAUAAAGUGCGUCGUAGUCCGGAUUGGAGU
RNAcentral lists this ribosomal RNA (527 nucleotides) under uncultured bacterium. RNAcentral's name for it is "bacterial SSU rRNA". It matches the Rfam family "Bacterial small subunit ribosomal RNA", at positions 777 to 1304 of the family's 1533-position model. The record is from RNAcentral.